RNAcentral lists this ribosomal RNA (252 nucleotides) under uncultured bacterium. Its description in RNAcentral is "partial 16S ribosomal RNA". It matches the Rfam family "Bacterial small subunit ribosomal RNA", at positions 524 to 776 of the family's 1533-position model. The record is from RNAcentral.
UACGUAGCAGCAAGCGUUGUUCGGAAUUACUGGGCGUAAAGAGUGUGUAGGCGGUGCUCCAAGUCUGGUGUGAAAUCUCCCGGCUUAACUGGGAGGGUGCCAUUAGAAACUGGAAUGCUAGAGGAUGGAGAGGUAAGCGGAAUUCCUGGUGUAGCGGUGAAAUGCGUAGAUAUCAGGAGGAACACCUGUGGUGUAGACAGCUUACUGGACCAUUUCUGACGCUGAGACACGAAAGCGUGGGUAGCAAACAGG